Long non-coding RNA from Carassius gibelio (silver crucian carp), 1383 nucleotides. RefSeq lists it as uncharacterized. NCBI's taxonomy places the organism in Eukaryota, Metazoa, Chordata, Actinopteri, Cypriniformes, Cyprinidae. The transcript has 3 exons. The record is from RefSeq and is a predicted model, not a curated record.
CGCUUCUCACUGCUGAUACUACAAAUAUAUAAAAACAGUACAAUUUUGCUUGUGUAGCAGCUGGUGAAAUGAUGUCUUUGGUGGUUUAUACACGAAUCAACCGUGUGCAAGUUGUAAAACACCAUUAACCACAUUCAUAAAUACACAGAUAACCUAGAAAGCACAAAACACGUUCUGUAUGGCAAAAUCAAGUGAGAGUUGACAUCUGAACGCAGAUCCAAAACAUUCAUCUACCACUCUAAAGUUUCCCGUCUCUUAUUUAAAUAUACAGGACUCUGCACAUGCAUGUUGUGAAUUUUCUUUAAGAAAUACUCAAACCAGAUAAAUGACAAAACUAAACUAUGCCUACAAACCAAAAGACUCAUGUAGAUUAAUGCAAGUGACAGAUGCAUCCUUAGAAGUAACCCAAACAACACUCUAACCUCCCGAUUUAGACUUGAAAAUCUUUCCAAAUUAAAACACUUGUAUUGUUACGUUACAGCAUUUGACAAAGAACCAUGUGCUACUCAAUAAAUGGUACCCUUAAAACUGACCCAAAUGCCGAAGUCAAAAAUAGCCAUCUAAAUGCCGUAAAACUCCUGAUUUGUAUUUUAAAAUCUUUCUAUUUUGAAACACAAGAAACGCUGGAUUAUAAAGCUUCAUAGAAAAAGGAAAUGCAAUUAGAAAAGUAGUUUUGGAGUUUCGUCUCUUAUUCAAACAUACAGAAUCUGUCAUUAAAACAAAAUGCAAUGCAAUUGACAGAUGCAUCUUUAAAAGUGACUCAAAUACAAGUCCAGAAGCACAAAAUAUCAGUGUGUAAAGCUCCCUGGUUUAGAUUACUUUUGCCACAUAGGGUUGCAUUAGCAACAUAACAAAAGCUGAAAUUAAAAAACACUGUAAAAAGUCUCCACGAGCGUACGAUCCUCCGACACGCACGCUUGUGAGUCAGAACCGGAGCAGAGAGGCGCCUGUAAACAUUGAGCACAUGUGCAGGAGUCGAUCAGAGAGAGAGAAACUGAAUAAGAAACACUCACCGAAGGUAGUACUGCUUCAAAACAAAAGCAGCAUUCGAGCAACAUCUGGGGAAAUUGAAAUCCUCGCUCAGUUCGGCCCAAUGGUUCUUGUCGGACACCUGUAGGGUGAUGAGACAGGUCUGGGGGGAAAAGAUCAAACCAUUAUGUCUGCAUUUAAAGGAGUACAAUCUGCGCUUUGUCGCAGCGGAUGAACAGUAAUUUACUCCCGGUCCCUUGCAACACCCGCCGGGCGGAUAUAAACGACACGGGGUUUACCCAGCAUGCCGCUUAGCCAGAUGGCCAGAUCCUCCUGCAUGGGCACCAGCGUGGCUUCGUGCCGCUUGGUCAACCACUGGUCAUACUGGAACACAUCAGUCAGACCCGGGCCGGG